Molecule: small nuclear RNA, 107 nt
Organism: Equus asinus (donkey)
Lineage: Eukaryota; Metazoa; Chordata; Mammalia; Perissodactyla; Equidae
Source: Ensembl
GUACUCGCUUUGGCAGCACAUAUACUAAAACCGGAAUGAUACGAAGAAGAUUAGCAUGGCUCUUGCACCAGGAUCUUGCACAAAUUCGUGACGUGUUAAAAUAAUAA